RNAcentral lists this microRNA (20 nucleotides) under Solanum tuberosum (potato). RNAcentral's name for it is "stu-miR156f-5p". Its record names the gene stu-miR156f-5p. RNAcentral also lists the same sequence under 1 other name. The record is from miRBase by way of RNAcentral. Lineage: Eukaryota; Viridiplantae; Streptophyta; Magnoliopsida; Solanales; Solanaceae.
CUGACAGAAGAGAGUGAGCA